RNAcentral lists this ribosomal RNA (457 nucleotides) under Chryseobacterium sp. ERMR1:04. RNAcentral's name for it is "bacterial SSU rRNA". It matches the Rfam family "Bacterial small subunit ribosomal RNA", at positions 1072 to 1533 of the family's 1533-position model. The record is from RNAcentral. Lineage: Bacteria; Pseudomonadati; Bacteroidota; Flavobacteriia; Flavobacteriales; Weeksellaceae.
GUGUUAGGUUAAGUCCUGCAACGAGCGCAACCCCUGUCACUAGUUGCUAGCAUUAAGUUGAGGACUCUAGUGAGACUGCCUACGCAAGUAGAGAGGAAGGUGGGGAUGACGUCAAAUCAUCACGGCCCUUACGCCUUGGGCCACACACGUAAUACAAUGGCCGGUACAGAGGGCAGCUACACAGCGAUGUGAUGCAAAUCUCGAAAGCCGGUCUCAGUUCGGAUUGGAGUCUGCAACUCGACUCUAUGAAGCUGGAAUCGCUAGUAAUCGCGCAUCAGCCAUGGCGCGGUGAAUACGUUCCCGGGCCUUGUACACACCGCCCGUCAAGCCAUGGAAGUCUGGGGUACCUGAAGUCGGUGACCGUAACAGGAGCUGCCUAGGGUAAAACAGGUAACUAGGGCUAAGUCGUAACAAGGUAGCCGUACCGGAAGGUGCGGCUGGAACAUCUCAUUUUAGA